Long non-coding RNA from Etheostoma spectabile (orangethroat darter), 161 nucleotides. RefSeq lists it as uncharacterized. The record is from RefSeq and is a predicted model, not a curated record. The transcript is spliced from 3 exons. NCBI's taxonomy places the organism in Eukaryota, Metazoa, Chordata, Actinopteri, Perciformes, Percidae.
CACACUUGUCUUCAUGCAGGUUUUGUCACCAACGAUAUUAAAGUUAGGACCGAUAACGAGGACAUUAAGUGUAACGAUAGCGCAAGAGCUUAACGGCCUGAUUUUCAGACUUUGACAUUUGAUGAUAUACACACAGACAUUUAAAGAUGUAUAUAGUAUUU